This is a small nuclear RNA of Molossus molossus (Pallas's mastiff bat), 107 nucleotides long. The record is from RefSeq and is a predicted model, not a curated record. Lineage: Eukaryota; Metazoa; Chordata; Mammalia; Chiroptera; Molossidae.
GUGCUCAUUUUGGCAGUACAUAUACUAAAACUGGAAUGAUACACAGAUGAUUAGCAUGGCCCCUGUGCAAGAAUGACAGGCAAAUGUGUGAAGCUUCCAUAUUUUAA